Molecule: ribosomal RNA, 736 nt
Filed under: uncultured bacterium
Lineage: Bacteria
Description: bacterial SSU rRNA
Rfam family: Bacterial small subunit ribosomal RNA
Source: RNAcentral
CGGCGUGCUUAACACAUGCAAGUCGAGCGAAGCGCUUAAACGGAUUUCUUCGGAAUGAAGUUUUUGUGACUGAGCGGCGGACGGGUGAGUAACGCGUGGGCAACCUGCCCCAUACCGGGGGAUAACAGCUGGAAACGGCUGCUAAUACCGCAUAAGCGCACAGUGCCGCAUGGUACGGUGUGAAAAACUCCGGUGGUAUGGGAUGGGCCCGCGUUGGAUUAGCCAGUUGGCAGGGUAACGGCCUACCAAAGCGACGAUCCAUAGCCGGCCUGAGAGGGCGACCGGCCACAUUGGGACUGAGACACGGCCCAAACUCCUACGGGAGGCAGCAGUGGGGAAUAUUGCACAAUGGGGGAAACCCUGAUGCAGCGACGCCGCGUGAGCGAAGAAGUAUUUCGGUAUGUAAAGCUCUAUCAGCAGGGAAGAAAAUGACGGUACCUGACUAAGAAGCCCCGGCUAACUACGUGCCAGCAGCCGCGGUAAUACGUAGGGGGCAAGCGUUAUCCGGAUUUACUGGGUGUAAAGGGAGCGUAGACGGGACAGCAAGUCUGAUGUGAAAGGCAGGGGCUCAACCCCUGGACUGCAUUGGAAACUGUUGACCUGGAGUACCGGAGGGGUAAGCGGAAUUCCUAGUGUAGCGGUGAAAUGCGUAGAUAUUAGGAGGAACACCGGUGGCGAAGGCGGCUUACUGGACGGUAACUGACGUUGAGGCUCGAAAGCGUGGGGAGCAAACAGG